Cannabis sativa is the source of this 878-nucleotide RNA transcript. RefSeq lists it as uncharacterized. NCBI's taxonomy places the organism in Eukaryota, Viridiplantae, Streptophyta, Magnoliopsida, Rosales, Cannabaceae. The record is from RefSeq and is a predicted model, not a curated record. The transcript is spliced from 3 exons.
UGGCAACGUGGUGGGCACAUAGGUCUGUGGACCAUGAACCAGCUAAGCCUCCAUAUUCUCAAUAAAAAAAUCUAGCUUUCUUCCAACAAAAAUGAAAGGAAAAAAAAGUGGUUAACAUGAUUUGUACACAGGCACAGGCACAGCUCAACUAAGCUUCCAUCAUGUUCUGAAUAUCUUGACCUUUCAACCACAAGCAACGAAUUAAUAUAGAAGAAAAAAAAAAGGUUUUGCUCAAAGCAUGGUCGCUUCUGCGAUGUUGCAGAUCAGAUCCCAUUCGAUGAAAGGGAGAGAUUAAUUGUCGUGAGAGAUUCACUAAAGGGUGUUGAAGACAAUCUCUUCUUUUUACAGAAAUUAGAGUGUUGUCAAAUGAGGGAUAGAGAUGAGGCUCUUAGUCGUUUAGAAGAAAGUAGAAUGGUUUUAAUAGACUUAGUGAGGCGAUUUCAAGGAAAGACAUCACCAGAUGUGUUGAGAGAAUUGAAUGCAUGUUUCGGCAAAGCUGUUAUUCAAAACUUAUUAAGAGAUGGUGAAAAGGAGGAGGAGGAGGAGCCUAACAUUUUGCAAAACAGAAGGUGGAUAUGGCCAAAAGCUUUAGGAAAUAUUGUUCUCAAACUUCUAAUCUUCUCAGCAACCGCAAGCAUAUCAUAUAUGGUCUCUAAUUGUACUCGAAAUCAAACCAAGCAUUUGUACUCUGUUUCGACAAGAAAAACUCCUCCGUUUUUGGAUUCAACUGAAGGAGAAAUCAACCAUAAUUUAUUCAAUGUGUUUCAUGGCAAGGGGUGAUCAUCAAUAUACACUUUUUUUUUUUGUAAUCUUAUUGUUUUACUUGGUAUAUUUUUUAUUUUUAUUUAGAGCAUAUGCUUACUUUCUUGUCGUUGGCA